This 2398-nucleotide long non-coding RNA is filed under the name Zostera marina. Its description in RNAcentral is "long non-coding RNA (ZMAR_LNC000185)". Lineage: Eukaryota; Viridiplantae; Streptophyta; Magnoliopsida; Alismatales; Zosteraceae. The record is from RNAcentral.
AGCAAUCAAAGAGUUUUUCACUCCACAUUUGAGCUCUCCAACGUUUUGCCUCCAAGUUUCCAAGCUUCCAAGUGCUCAAGUGUCUUAGCUUUUCAAAGCUUCAAAAGCUCUACAACUUCUUCUUCUAAUCUUCUUGUUCAUCUUUACAAGUAAGAAGUGUUGUUUGCUUUAAUAUUCCACUCCUCUAAUCACCUCUUGUGUGUGUCCACUUUGGUUGAGAGGGUUGUCUCAAUAGUACCAAAGUGUGAGAGAAUUUUUGAGCUCAACCAUAAAACUCUAGUUUGGUUCUAUAAAGUUUUCGGGAAAACUCUUAGGUCGAAUCUACCUUGAAAGAUUUCUAGGUUUUUAAGAGUUCCUUGAUACUCUAAGGUACUAACUUACCCGUAAAAGUUAGAGGUUCUUAAGAGUGCCCUUGAUACUCUAAGGUGUGAGUCUACCCGUAAAAGACUGGUUCCUAAGCGAAGUAGUCUUAAAGCUUAGAGAGUUUUUUAAGAGUUCCUUGAUACUCUAAGGUACUAACUUACCCGUAAAAGUCAGAGGUUCUUAAAAGUGUCAUUGAUACUCUAAGGUGUGAGUCUACCCGUAAAAGACUGGUUCCUAAGCGAAGUAGCCUUAAAGCUUAGAGAGGUUCUUCAGAGUUUCCUUGAUAUUCUAAGGUUUUGCCAUAACCUUUAGGCUAGUGAAUUCCGACAGUUGGUCGGGACUGGAUUAGCCCUUGUUUGGGUGAACCAGUAUAAAUCUCUUGUGUUGUUCUUUGUUAACUUUAAUUUUAUAUUUUUUAUAAAAACAACUAAACAACACUUAAUUGAAAAAUAUCUCUCUUCCAGUUAUCUGGUCAAAUAUAGAGGUUGACUAUUUUAAGCAGAUCUCUCAUCCAGUUAUCUGGUCAACUAUCUGAGGUUAUAUUAUUUGCCUUAAAUUCUUUCAAGCAUCUACUUAUCAAAUAUAUACAUCCAGUUAUCUGGUCAUUUACUUGCUUAUUAAUAUAUCCAGUUAUCUUGUCAUUACUCUAUAAUACAACUUGUGUUUACAAUAUAACUUAGUACUCAUAUACUACAGUUGUUUGUAAAACACUAUCAAGCAAGUUGACUCAAUAUUCAUAUACUGUAGUAAGCUUCGAAGAGUAAUAAUUACGUUAUUAUAUCAUUCAGAGUUAUAAUAUCCUUAUAUCAUUAUUGUUCAACCAUUUAUUUAUUAAGUGUUUACAGGUAAUUCCGCAAUCAACCUGUAUAAAACGAAAAGAGACUAUUAUCCCCCCUUAUAGCCUCGGAUCACGAUCCAACACUAUUAUAUUGUUACGCUACUGUAGUAUACUCUUAUUCCACCCGUUCCUAUAGUAUGGCGUGUAGUUCUGCUAUAAUGUGUUUACGCUACUGCAUAGUGGCUUAUGCUAAUAUCAGUAUUUACACCGGCAUCUACACGACAUACGUGGCUGCGGACAGGACUUUUAAUCAAUAAUCCAAUCACCCAGGUCGAAUCACAUCGAAUGAGACCUAUUUCCAACAGACAUUCUUUCACAACAAUUUCCUGUAAUUUACCGCUCUUCAUAAUGUCGCGUAUGUUCAUUCCAGCACUGGUUACGUGGAUCUUCCAUAUCUUCUCUUUCAUUGUCCUUUCAAUCCUACCCUUCCUCACGUCUUCCUAAAACAUUUAAUAAUAAUUUUAGCAGAUAAAUAACAUGGAGGUCGAAAAACAAUAAAACUUACAUGUCUUUCUAUUAUCCUUUUCACAAGAGAACUAGAUUUGUGUUUGUUCAACUGGACGGAUAUGGGUUCAUUGUCCAACCUGUCUUCUUCUCCUGAUAAAUCAAUUGUCUUUCUCGGUGUAAUAAAAGUUUCCUCAUUUCCAACUGUACGACUAUUAAAUUGCGAGUUCAUGGGUCUUUCGAAGUUUGGAGUACGACAUGCUUGAGACGCUAAGCGACACGCCUCUUCUAUAAAUACCGGGUCAUCUUGAGACGACAGAACAUAUUCAUGCACAUUAUAUUUGGUACCUAUAAGAAUGUUUCAGAGCACAUUAGAUAUAUUCAAUGUCAUUGUUUAAUUUUUUAUGGAUAUUUACCGCUUGUUGAAGGUAUAUUAACUGUCUCAUUUAUAACUUCAGGUACAUCGAUUUCAAUAUCAGUCAAAUCGAAAAAGAGCUUUAUAGGAGAACCUAAAAAUUCCUUUCUUGUGUUGAAAGGAUCUAAAUAUAUAGGAACAAAGUUCUUGUUAGAUAUUAGUUGGAAAAAAAUUCGGAACAAAUUAAAUGGACAUAAUACCAUCAUGUGUCAGGUCAAUGGUCUUCUUCGUGAAAUUAUCGGUAUAUUCAUAUCCAGUGAACAUUUCAGUCUUCACUUUCACAAACUUAUGCUCAGAUAUUAUUGGAUUUGAUUAUAGAUAUUCAACCUCAUCCGAGC